RNAcentral lists this ribosomal RNA (526 nucleotides) under uncultured bacterium. Its description in RNAcentral is "bacterial SSU rRNA". It matches the Rfam family "Bacterial small subunit ribosomal RNA", at positions 355 to 874 of the family's 1533-position model. The record is from RNAcentral.
UCGGGAAUUUUGGGCAAUGGGCGCAAGCCUGACCCAGCAACGCCGCGUGAAGGAUGAAGUUUUUCGGAAUGUAAACUUCACAAGACGGGGAAGAAUAAGGAGAGGCUAAUACCUUUUCCGAUGACGGUACCCGUUGUAAGCUCCGGCUAACUCCGUGCCAGCAGCCGCGGUAAUACGGGGGGAGCAAGCGUUGUUCGGAUUUACUGGGCGUAAAGGGCGCGUAGGCGGUCGGACAAGUCGGUUGUGAAAUCUUCGGGCUCAACCCGGAGCGGCCAACCGAUACUGUCCAACUUGAGUGCGGAAGGGGCAACUGGAAUUCUCGGUGUAGCGGUGAAAUGCGUAGAUAUCGAGAGGAACACCUGUGGCGAAGGCGGGUUGCUGGGCCGACACUGACGCUGAGGCGCGAAAGCCAGGGGAGCGAACGGGAUUAGAUACCCCGGUAGUCCUGGCCUUAAACGAUGGAUGCCUGGUGUCCGAGGUUAGAUAGUCCUCGGGUGCCGUCGCUAACGCAUUAAGCAUCCCGCCU